Molecule: ribosomal RNA, 253 nt
Filed under: uncultured bacterium
Lineage: Bacteria
Description: partial 16S ribosomal RNA
Rfam family: Bacterial small subunit ribosomal RNA
Source: RNAcentral
UACGUAGGGGGCAAGCGUUGUCCGGAAUCAUUGGGCGUAAAGAGCGUGUAGGCGGCCCGAUAAGUCCGCUGUGAAAGUCCAGGGCUCAACCCUGGAAUGCCGGUGGAUACUGUCGGGCUCGAAUCCGGAAGAGGUGAGUGGAAUUCCUGGUGUAGCGGUGAAAUGCGCAGAUAUCAGGAAGAACACCAAUGGCGAAGGCAGCUCUCUGGGACGGUACUGACACUGAGACGCGAAAGCGUGGGGAGCGAACAGG